GACGGGUAUCUGGCUGGAUGAAGAGCUUGUCUUGAAAACAAGUAGAUCGUUAAUAGCGGUUUGGGGGUUCGAGUCCCUCACCCGUCG
Molecule: transfer RNA, 87 nt
Filed under: Clostridia bacterium
Lineage: Bacteria; Bacillati; Bacillota; Clostridia
Description: tRNA-Ser
Rfam family: tRNA
About the family: Transfer RNA (tRNA) molecules are approximately 80 nucleotides in length. Their secondary structure includes four short double-helical elements and three loops (D, anti-codon, and T loops).
Source: RNAcentral